AUAUCUCUCUGUACGGGAAGGAUGAGAAGCUUCGACUAAGGUUCGAUUCGAGCGCAGCGAGAAAGCGUUGGGAGCAGACUGUAAAUCUGCCGUCAUCGACUUCGAAGGUUCGAAUCCUUCCCCCACCACCA
Molecule: small RNA, 131 nt
Filed under: Salmonella enterica subsp. enterica serovar Muenchen
Lineage: Bacteria; Pseudomonadati; Pseudomonadota; Gammaproteobacteria; Enterobacterales; Enterobacteriaceae
Description: RtT sRNA
Rfam family: RtT RNA
About the family: This family represents a bacterial cis-regulatory element known as RtT RNA. The exact function of RtT is unknown although it is thought that it may be involved in changing the cellular response in relation to amino acid starvation.
Source: RNAcentral